This 2885-nucleotide ribosomal RNA is filed under the name metagenome. RNAcentral describes it as "bacterial LSU rRNA". It matches the Rfam family "Bacterial large subunit ribosomal RNA". The record is from RNAcentral.
GAAAGUAAAUAAGAGCGUAUGGGGAAUGCCUAGGCUCUCAGAGGCGAAGAAGGACGUGCCAAGCUGCGAAAAGCUCCGGGGAUCUGCUGAGAAGAUUUGAUCCGGAGAUGUCCGAAUGGGGAAACCCUCUUAGUUGAAGACUAAGAAUCCGAAAGGAGGCGAACCCAGGGAACUGAAACAUCUAAGUACCUGGAGGAGGAGAAAACAAAAGUGAUUCCGCAAGUAGUGGCGAGCGAACGCGGAUUAGCCCAAACCCAAACGGUUACGGCUGUUUGGGGGUUGUAGGACCAUGUUGUGGUAUGCGUAAAUGAACUUGAAUUACCUGGGAAGGUAAGCCCUAGAAGGUGAAAGCCCUGUAUGGAUAAGUUUGCGUGGCCUAAUGGUAUCCUGAGUAAGGCGGGGUCGGAGACGCCCCGUUUGAAUCUAGCAGCACCAUCUGCUAAGGCUAAAUACUACUGAGAGACCGAUAGUGAACUAGUACUGUGAAGGAAAGGUGAAAAGAACCGUGAAUAACGGAGUGAAAUAGAACCUGAAACCAUACGCUUACAAGCGGUCGGAGCCAUUUUUGUGGUGACGGCGUGCCUUUUGCAUAAUGAGCCUACGAGUUGCUCCUCUUUGGCGAGGUUAAGAAUAUUGAUAUUCGGAGCCGGAGCGAAAGCGAGUCUGAAAAGGGCGUAUAGUCAGAGGGGGCAGACGCGAAACUUUGUGAUCUACCCAUGGCCAGGAUGAAGUAGUGGUAACACACUAUGGAGGUCCGAACUGGUAAGCGUUGAAAAGCUUUCGGAUGAGCUGUGGGUAGGGGUGAAAGGCUAAUCAAACUGAGAAAUAGCUCGUACUCCCCGAAAUGCCUUUAGGGGCAGCGUCGUGGUUGAGUUUUAAAGAGGUAGAGCUACCAAUUGGACUAGGGGGAGUCAAAUCCUACCAAAUCCAGAUGAACUCCGAAUGCUUUAAAAUAUACACGGCAGUGAGGGCUGGGGUGCUAAGGUCCCGGUCCGAGAGGGAAAGAACCCAGACCAACAGCUAAGGUCCCAAAAUCUAGACUAAGUUGAACUAAGGAAGUUCAGUUGCAGAGACAGCCAGGAUGUUUGCUUGGAAGCAGCAAUUCAUUUAAAGAGUGCGUAACAGCUCACUGGUCGAGCGACAGGGCAUCGAUAAUAAACGGGCAUCAAGUCUAGUACCGAAGCUUUGGAUUAUAGUAAUAUACUGGUAGGGGAGCAUUCUAGUCAGCGGUGAAGGUAUCUUGUAAGAGGUGCUGGAGCGACUAGAAAAGCAAAUGUAGGCAUAAGUAACGAUAAUGCAUGCGAGAAACAUGCACACCGAUAGACUAAGGUUUCCUGAACAACGUUAAUCGGAUCAGGGUUAGUCGGGGCCUAAGGCGUAGUCGAAGGGCGAAGUCGAUGGACAAUUGGUUAAUAUUCCAAUACCUGCUUUAUUGAGUGAUGGAGAGACGGAGUAGUGAAAGAUCUGCGCACUGACGGAAUAGUGCGUUGAAACCCGUAGGUAUAUUUUUGGUAGGUAAAUCCGCUGAGAAUGCUGAAAGGUGAUAGUACAGAGCGGCUUCGGCCAAUUUGAUAAUGAUCCUAAUCAGACUCCCGAGAAAAUCUUCUAAGCGUUUACAAUGAAGCAGCCCGUACCGCAAACCGACACAGGUAGUCAAGAAGAAGAUUCUAAGGUGCUCGAGUGAGUCACGGCUAAGGAACUCGGCAAAUUAAUCCUGUAACUUCGGGAAAAGGGAUGCCUCCUCAGCAAUGAGAGGUCGCAGAGAAAUGGCCCAGGCGACUGUUUAACAAAAACACAUGGCUAUGCGAAAUCGUAAGAUGAUGUAUAUGGCCUGACACCUGCCCGGUGCUGGAAGGUUAAGAGGGGAUGUUAGUCGCAAGGCGAAGCAUUGAAUCGAAGCCCCAGUAAACGGCGGCCGUAACUAUAACGGUCCUAAGGUAGCGAAAUUCCUUGUCGGGUAAGUUCCGACCUGCACGAAUGGUGUAACGAUCUGGGCACUGUCUCAGCCGUGAGCUCGGUGAAAUUGUAGUAGCGGUGAAGAUGCCGCUUACCCGCAACGGGACGGAAAGACCCCGUGCACCUUUACUAUAGCUUUACAUUGACUUUGGGUAAAUGAUGUGUAGGAUAGGUGGGAGACUUUGAACCGGUGCCGCCAGGUAUCGGGGAGUCAACGUUGAAAUACCACCCUUUAUUUAUCUGGAGUCUAACCCCGCAAAGCGGGGAACAUUGUAUGGUGGGUAGUUUGACUGGGGUGGUCGCCUCCAAAAGAGUAACGGAGGCUUUCAAAGGUACCCUCAGCACGCUUGGUAACCGUGCGCAGAGUGCAAUAGCAUAAGGGUGCUUGACUGUGAGACCUACAAGUCGAUCAGGUACGAAAGUAGGAUAUAGUGAUCCGGUGGUUCCGCAUGGAAGGGCCAUCGCUCAAAGGAUAAAAGGUACGCCGGGGAUAACAGGCUGAUCUCCCCCAAGAGCUCAUAUCGACGGGGAGGUUUGGCACCUCGAUGUCGGCUCGUCACAUCCUGGGGCUGGAGAAGGUCCCAAGGGUUGAGCUGUUCGCUCAUUAAAGUGGCACGCGAGCUGGGUUCAGAACGUCGUGAGACAGUUCGGUCCCUAUCUGUUGUGGGCGUUAGAAAUUUGAGAGGGCCUGACCUUAGUACGAGAGGACCGGGUUGGACAAGCCUCUGGUAUGUCUGUUGUGCCGCCAGGUGCAGCGCAGAGUAGCCAAGCUUGGUAGAGAUAAGCGCUGAAAGCAUCUAAGUGCGAAACUCGCCUCAAGAUGAGAUUUCUUUAUAAGGGCCGUCAGAGACUAUGACGUUGAUAGGCUGCAGGUGUAAAGACAGAAAUGUCAAAGCUGAGCAGUACUAAUUACCCGUAGCUUUCCAUGU